CCUACGGGAGGCAGCAGUGGGGAAUAUUGGGCAAUGGGCGCAAGCCUGACCCAGCAACGCCGCGUGAAGGAAGAAGGCUCUCGGGUUGUAAACUUCUUUUAUCAGGGACGAAGCAAGCGACGGUACCUGAUGAAUAAGCCACGGCUAACUACGUGCCAGCAGCCGCGGUAAUACGUAGGGGGCAAGCGUUAUCCGGAUUUACUGGGUGUAAAGGGCGUGUAGGCGGUACAGCAAGUCAGAUGUGAAAACCAUGGGCUCAACCUGUGGCCUGCAUUUGAAACUGUUUUUCUUGAGUACUGGAGAGGCAGGCGGAAUUCCUAGUGUAGCGGUGAAAUGCGUAGAUAUUAGGAGGAACACCAGUGGCGAAGGCGGCCUGCUGGACAGCAACUGACGCUGAGGCGCGAAAGCGUGGGGAGCAAACAGGAUUAGAUACCCGAGUAGUC
Molecule: ribosomal RNA, 443 nt
Filed under: uncultured bacterium
Lineage: Bacteria
Description: partial 16S ribosomal RNA
Rfam family: Bacterial small subunit ribosomal RNA
Source: RNAcentral